GACGAACGCUGGCGGCGUGCUUAACACAUGCAAGUCGAACGCUGAAGCUCAGCUUUUGUUGGGUGGAUGAGUGGCGAACGGGUGAGUAACACGUGAGUAACCUGCCUCCUUCUUUGGGAUAACGCCCGGAAACGGGUGCUAAUACUGGAUAUUCACUGGUCUUCGCAUGGGGGUUGGUGGAAAGGGUUUUUCUGGUGGGGGAUGGGCUCGCGGCCUAUCAGCUUGUUGGUGGGGUGAUGGCCUACCAAGGCUUUGACGGGUAGCCGGCCUGAGAGGGUGACUGGUCACAUUGGGACUGAGAUAGGGCCCAGACUCCUACGGGAGGCAGCAGUGGGGAAUAUUGCGCAAUGGGCGCAAGCCUGAUGCAGCGACGCAGCGUGAGGGAUGGAGGCCUUCGGGUUGGGAACCUCUUUCGCUCAUGGUCAAGCCGCAACAAUGGUUGGGGUGAGGGUAGUGGGUAAAGAAGCGCCGGCUAACUACGUG
Molecule: ribosomal RNA, 483 nt
Filed under: uncultured bacterium
Lineage: Bacteria
Description: partial 16S ribosomal RNA
Rfam family: Bacterial small subunit ribosomal RNA
Source: RNAcentral